This 745-nucleotide ribosomal RNA is filed under the name Arthrobacter sp. RNAcentral describes it as "bacterial SSU rRNA". It matches the Rfam family "Bacterial small subunit ribosomal RNA", at positions 62 to 820 of the family's 1533-position model. The record is from RNAcentral. Lineage: Bacteria; Bacillati; Actinomycetota; Actinomycetes; Micrococcales; Micrococcaceae.
UCGAACGAUGAUCUCCAGCUUGCUGGGGGGAUUAGUGGCGAACGGGUGAGUAACACGUGAGUAACCUGCCCUUAACUCUGGGAUAAGCCUGGGAAACUGGGUCUAAUACCGGAUAUGACUCCUCAUCGCAUGGUGGGGGGUGGAAAGCUUUUGUGGUUUUGGAUGGACUCGCGGCCUAUCAGCUUGUUGGUGAGGUAAUGGCUCACCAAGGCGACGACGGGUAGCCGGCCUGAGAGGGUGACCGGCCACACUGGGACUGAGACACGGCCCAGACUCCUACGGGAGGCAGCAGUGGGGAAUAUUGCACAAUGGGCGCAAGCCUGAUGCAGCGACGCCGCGUGAGGGAUGACGGCCUUCGGGUUGUAAACCUCUUUCAGUAGGGAAGAAGCGAAAGUGACGGUACCUGCAGAAGAAGCGCCGGCUAACUACGUGCCAGCAGCCGCGGUAAUACGUAGGGCGCAAGCGUUAUCCGGAAUUAUUGGGCGUAAAGAGCUCGUAGGCGGUUUGUCGCGUCUGCCGUGAAAGUCCGGGGCUCAACUCCGGAUCUGCGGUGGGUACGGGCAGACUAGAGUGAUGUAGGGGAGACUGGAAUUCCUGGUGUAGCGGUGAAAUGCGCAGAUAUCAGGAGGAACACCGAUGGCGAAGGCAGGUCUCUGGGCAUUAACUGACGCUGAGGAGCGAAAGCAUGGGGAGCGAACAGGAUUAGAUACCCUGGUAGUCCAUGCCGUAAACGUUGGGCACUAGG